Molecule: ribosomal RNA, 431 nt
Filed under: uncultured rumen bacterium
Lineage: Bacteria
Description: bacterial SSU rRNA
Rfam family: Bacterial small subunit ribosomal RNA
Source: RNAcentral
GCUAAGAAUAUUCCGCAAUGGACGAAAGUCUGACGGAGCGACGCCGCGUGGAUGAUGAAGGCCGGAAGGUUGUAAAAUCCUUUUAUGACUGAGGAAUAAGGAAAGUGAGAGAAACGCUUUCUGGUGACUGUAGGUCAUGAAUAAGCAACGGCUAAUUACGUGCCAGCAGCCGCGGUAACACGUAAGUUGCGAGCGUUGUUCGGAAUUAUUGGGCGUAAAGGGCAUGUAGGCGGUUAUGCAAGUCUGGUGUGAAAUGCCGGGGCUUAACCCCGGAACUGCGUUGGAAACUGCAUGACUUGAGUCGCUGAGGGGCAGCCAGAAUUCCAGGUGUAGGGGUGAAAUCUGUAGAUAUCUGGAAGAAUACCAAUGGCGAAGGCAGGCUGCCAGCAGAUGACUGACGCUGAGGUGCGAAGGUGCGGGGAGCAAACAGG